This 497-nucleotide ribosomal RNA is filed under the name uncultured bacterium. Its description in RNAcentral is "partial 16S ribosomal RNA". It matches the Rfam family "Bacterial small subunit ribosomal RNA", at positions 28 to 507 of the family's 1533-position model. The record is from RNAcentral.
GACGAACGCUGGCGGCGUGCCUAAUACAUGCAAGUCGAGCGAACAGAUGAGGAGCUUGCUCCUCUGACGUUAGCGGCGGACGGGUGAGUAACACGUGGAUAACCUACCUAUAAGACUGGGAUAACUUCGGGAAACCGGAGCUAAUACCGGAUAAUAUAUUGAACCGCAUGGUUCAAUAGUGAAAGACGGUUUUGCUGUCACUUAUAGAUGGAUCCGCGCCGCAUUAGCUAGUUGGUAAGGUAACGGCUUACCAAGGCAACGAUGCGUAGCCGACCUGAGAGGGUGAUCGGCCACACUGGAACUGAGACACGGUCCAGACUCCUACGGGAGGCAGCAGUAGGGAAUCUUCCGCAAUGGGCGAAAGCCUGACGGAGCAACGCCGCGUGAGUGAUGAAGGUCUUCGGAUCGUAAAACUCUGUUAUUAGGGAAGAACAAAUGUGUAAGUAACUAUGCACGUCCUGACGGUACCUAAUCAGAAAGCCACGGCUAACUACGUG